CGUUGAGGCGGUUCUGUAAGUUGGACGUGAAAGCCCUCGGCUCAACUGGGGGAGGUCGUUCAAUACUGCAGAACUUGAGGGCAGCAGAGGGGGGUGGAAUUUCCGGUGUAGUGGUGAAAUGCGUAGAUAUCGGAAGGAACACCAGUGGCGAAGGCGGCCCCCUGGGCUGCUCCUGACGCUGAAUGCGAAAGCUAGGGGAGCGAACG
Molecule: ribosomal RNA, 206 nt
Filed under: uncultured bacterium
Lineage: Bacteria
Description: partial 16S ribosomal RNA
Rfam family: Bacterial small subunit ribosomal RNA
Source: RNAcentral